RNAcentral lists this small nuclear RNA (316 nucleotides) under Microcebus murinus (gray mouse lemur). Its description in RNAcentral is "7SK RNA (ENSMICG00000023110.3)". It matches the Rfam family "7SK RNA". Rfam says of the family: 7SK was discovered as an abundant small nuclear RNA in the mid-70s but a possible function has only recently been suggested. Lineage: Eukaryota; Metazoa; Chordata; Mammalia; Primates; Cheirogaleidae. The record is from Rfam by way of RNAcentral.
GGAUGUGAAGGCGAUCUGGCUGCGACAUCUGUCCUGCUCCAUUGAUCGCCAUAGUUGAUUCCGAUGCUUCUGGCUGGCUUGGUGGGUGCCCCCUUCCUCACCGCUCCAUGUGCAUCUUUCUGAAGCUGUGCUUGGUUGAAGAGGACGACCUUACCCCCAUAGAGGAGGACCAUUCUUCAGUCAAGAGUAUAGGAGCAGCUGCACUCCCCUGCUAGAACUUCCAAACAAGCUCUCUCAAGAGUCACAGUUUAGAUGAGGCGAUAGACAAACUGUAGAAUGCAACAAGAAACCUUUUUAUGAACAAAGAUGGCUUUGU